RNAcentral lists this ribosomal RNA (440 nucleotides) under uncultured bacterium. Its description in RNAcentral is "bacterial SSU rRNA". It matches the Rfam family "Bacterial small subunit ribosomal RNA", at positions 338 to 795 of the family's 1533-position model. The record is from RNAcentral.
CCUACGGGGGGCAGCAGUGGGGAAUAUUGGACAAUGGGCGCAAGCCUGAUCCAGCAAUGCCGCGUGAGUGAUGAAGGCCUUCGGGUCGUAAAGCUCUUUUACCAGGGAUGAUAAUGACAGUACCUGGAGAAUAAGCUCCGGCUAACUCCGUGCCAGCAGCCGCGGUAAUACGGAGGGAGCUAGCGUUGUUCGGAAUUACUGGGCGUAAAGCGCGCGUAGGCGGCGACACAAGUCAGAGGUGAAAGCCCGGGGCUCAACCCCGGAACUGCCUUUGAAACUAGGUUGCUAGAAUCUUGGAGAGGUCAGUGGAAUUCCGAGUGUAGAGGUGAAAUUCGUAGAUAUUCGGAAGAACACCAGUGGCGAAGGCGACUGACUGGACAAGUAUUGACGCUGAGGUGCGAAAGCGUGGGGAGCAAACAGGAUUAGAUACCCCAGUAGUC